Molecule: ribosomal RNA, 466 nt
Filed under: uncultured bacterium
Lineage: Bacteria
Description: partial 16S ribosomal RNA
Rfam family: Bacterial small subunit ribosomal RNA
Source: RNAcentral
GAUGAACGCUGGCGACGUGCUUAACACAUGCAAGUCGAACGGAAAGGCUCCUGCUUGCAGGGGUACUCGAGUGGCGAACGGGUGAGUAACACGUGGGUGAUCUGCCCUGCACUUCGGGAUAAGCCUGGGAAACUGGGUCUAAUACCGGAUAGGACGAUGGUUUGGAUGCCAUUGUGGAAAGUUUUUCGGUGUGGGAUGAGCUCGCGGCCUAUCAGCUUGUUGGUGGGGUAAUGGCCUACCAAGGCGUCGACGGGUAGCCGGCCUGAGAGGGUGUACGGCCACAUUGGGACUGAGAUACGGCCCAGACUCCUACGGGAGGCAGCAGUGGGGAAUAUUGCACAAUGGGCGCAAGCCUGAUGCAGCGACGCCGCGUGGGGGAUGACGGCCUUCGGGUUGUAAACUCCUUUCGCUAGGGACGAAGCGUUUUGUGACGGUACCUGGAGAAGAAGCACCGGCUAACUACGUG